GACGAACGCUGGCGGCGUGCUUAACACAUGCAAGUCGAACGGAAAGGCCCUGCUUGCAGGGUGCUCGAGUGGCGAACGGGUGAGUAACACGUGGGUGAUCUGCCCCUUACUUUGGGAUAAGCCUGGGAAACUGGGUCUAAUACUGGAUAGGACCAUGCUGUAGGUGGUGUGGUGGAAAGAUUAGUUUCGGUAAGGGAUGAGCUCGCGGCCUAUCAGCUUGUUGGUGGGGGAAUGGCCUACCAAGGCGUCGACGGGUAGCCGGCCUGAGAGGGUGGCCGGCCGCUUUGGGACUGAGAGCCCGCCCGGCCUCCUACGGGAGGCAGGAGUGGGGGAUAUUGCACAAUGGGGGCAAGCCUGCUGCAGCGACGCCGCGUGGGCGUUGACGGCCUUCGUGUUGUAGACUCCUUUCGGGCAUGACGAAGCCCUUGUGGUGAUGGUAGUGGUAGAAGAAGCGCCGGCUAACUACGUG
RNAcentral lists this ribosomal RNA (469 nucleotides) under uncultured bacterium. RNAcentral describes it as "partial 16S ribosomal RNA". It matches the Rfam family "Bacterial small subunit ribosomal RNA", at positions 28 to 507 of the family's 1533-position model. The record is from RNAcentral.